GCAACCAACGCGAACGCGGGGUGCUUCUCCGGGCCGCCGCGCCGCGGAGGUGGGAGGUGGAGUUCGCGCGCUACAUCCCGGCGCCGCGCCAAGCUGGCCCGCCGGCUCCCCCCGGCCUCCGCCGCAUCACCCGCGGCAAAGCAGCUCCGCCACCGCGGGGGCGCGUGGCUCACCGCCGCGUCCCCCGCGGUGCUCCGCGUGUCGAGCCCCGGCCGCCCCUACGCGGGCCCCGUCCUCACCGUCUCCAUCGGCGACGUCGUCUACGUCCGUACCGAGAGCGCCCCCCUGGCUCCCUCUUCUUUCCGCUUCUGCUGUGGCCACACCACGUUGUGUGCCACUUUAUACAUGUCAUUGCUCAUGAUUGAGAAGUUUGCUGUACGUUUCCCACAGCCUUGUGAUGCAGAGUCAUUCUUGAAUUGUGUGAAGGUCUAUACAUCAGGUGUUCUUCAAGAUGGUAAAGAAAACACCAUGUUCUGCUUAUUUGUCUUGUCUCUUUUAAAUUCUGUUCAUGACCUAUCAAGAAUGUUUGACACAGUUGUUGCUGCUAAAGAAAUGACUGCUGAUAAAGUUGAAGGCGCUGGUAAAGAGAUUGAUAUUACCAUAAAAAGAGGUAUUAUGCCAUCUAUAAAGGCGGGCAAUCAUCUGCCUGCGAAAAUGCACAGUUUGGUGUUGAUGGAGGAAGCUGCUGUGACCCUCGCCAACCUGGAGAUCAAAGGACAAAUGAGUUGGACCUCCAGCAUUGCUGUGGAACAAACAGGUCGCCUCUUUGGUUCUCAGACAACAUUGAUACCAUCAUGCUGCCGCCGUUCUGCAAUGGUCAUGGCAGAGCCAAGCGCGGUCGGGUCCCUGGGUGUGUCAGCUAUCUGCUGGCACACGGACAUCGUGGUGGCAACCCGGAUCGCUGCAGGCACAACGCAGGCCGUGCAACGCCGUGGUAUGCCGGUGCAGGGAUGAAGCCGUGGAGCGCAAUGCCAACUGGAUCUCCCUCGGAAGGCGCGAGCACACACCGUUUGCCGGUUUCUGAUGAGCAGGAGUGCUAUCCGGCUAGCCGCCGGCGGAGGGUUCUGGCCUCUCCCAUCCGCCCGUGCAUUCUUCUCCGCGCGGGGGAGCUGCCUGACGACAGUGAUGGUGAGUCAAGCUCUGACGACAGUGAAUGCUGAGGCUUCUUGAUUCGGAGUACUU
Molecule: long non-coding RNA, 1182 nt
Filed under: Oryza sativa Indica Group (long-grained rice)
Lineage: Eukaryota; Viridiplantae; Streptophyta; Magnoliopsida; Poales; Poaceae
Description: lncRNA OsMH63_06G014770
Source: RNAcentral